GAUCAACGCUGGCGGCGUGCCUAAUGCAUGCAAGUCGAACGGAGCCGCCUUCGGGCGGUCACGUGGCGGACGGGUGAGGAACACGUGGGCGAUCUGCCCCGGGGCGGGGGAUAGCCACCAGAAAUGGUGGGUAAUACCGCAUGUGGUGACCGAUGUACGCAUCGGCCACGAAAGGCGCAAGCCACCCUGGGAGGAGCCUG
This 200-nucleotide ribosomal RNA is filed under the name uncultured bacterium. RNAcentral's name for it is "partial 16S ribosomal RNA". It matches the Rfam family "Bacterial small subunit ribosomal RNA", at positions 28 to 233 of the family's 1533-position model. The record is from RNAcentral.